AGAACUGUAUGCGGUGGAUCACUCGGCUCGUGUGUCGAUGAAGAGUGCAGCAAACUGUG
RNAcentral lists this ribosomal RNA (59 nucleotides) under Anoplocephala magna. RNAcentral's name for it is "partial 5.8S ribosomal RNA". It matches the Rfam family "5.8S ribosomal RNA", at positions 1 to 57 of the family's 154-position model. From Rfam's summary of the family: 5.8S ribosomal RNA (5.8S rRNA) is a component of the large subunit of the eukaryotic ribosome. It is transcribed by RNA polymerase I as part of the 45S precursor that also contains 18S and 28S rRNA. The record is from RNAcentral. Lineage: Eukaryota; Metazoa; Platyhelminthes; Cestoda; Cyclophyllidea; Anoplocephalidae.